UUGAUCCUGGCUCAGGACGAACGCUGGCGGCGCGCCUAAGCUUAUGCAAGUCGAACGCGAACGGCUCCUUCGGGAGCCUAGUAGAGUGGCAAACGGGUGAGUAACGCGUGGGUAACGUACCCUGAUCCUGGGAAUAACCCUCGGAAACGAGGGCUAAUACCGAAUGUGGCGAACGACCGGUUGGUCGCUCGCUAAAGGUGGCCUCUUCUAUGCUGCCGGGUUGGGAUCGGCCCGCGUCCCAUUAGCUAGUUGGUGAGGUAACGGCUCACCAAGGCCACGAUGGGUAGCCGGCCUGAGAGGGUGUACGGCCACACUGGCACUGAGACAAAGGCCAGUCCCCUAUGGGAGGCGCAGGCGGGAAUAGUUCACAAUGGGCGAAAGCCUGAUGACGCGACGCCGCGUGAGCGAAGAAGACCUUCGGGUUGUAAAGCUCUGUCAGGAGGGAAGAAGGCUCUACGGGUCAAUAGCCCGUGGGAUUGACGGUACCUCCAGAGGAAGCCCCGGCUAAAUACGUGCCAGCAGCCGCGGUAAUACGUAUGGGGCAAGCGUUGUCCGGAUUUACUGGGCGUAAAGGGCGCGUAGGCGGUUUGUUAAGUCGAAGGUGAAAUCCUCGGGCUCAACUCGAGAAUUGCCUUCGAUACUGGCAAACUAGAGUGGCGGAGAGGAAAGCGGAACUCUUGGUGUAACGGUGGAAUGUGUAGAUAUCAAGAGGAACACCGGUGGCGAAGGCGGCUUUCUGGACGCACACUGACGCUCAGGCGCGAAAGCGUGGGUAGCAAACAGGAUUAGAUACCCUGGUAGUCCACGCCAUAAACGAUGGGUACUAGGUGUCGGGGGUAUCGACCCCUCCGGUGCCGCAGUUGACGCACUAAGUACCC
RNAcentral lists this ribosomal RNA (878 nucleotides) under uncultured organism. RNAcentral describes it as "bacterial SSU rRNA". It matches the Rfam family "Bacterial small subunit ribosomal RNA", at positions 13 to 869 of the family's 1533-position model. The record is from RNAcentral.